This 348-nucleotide ribosomal RNA is filed under the name uncultured bacterium. RNAcentral describes it as "bacterial SSU rRNA". It matches the Rfam family "Bacterial small subunit ribosomal RNA", at positions 976 to 1326 of the family's 1533-position model. The record is from RNAcentral.
UGGGCUUGACAUGCAGGGGACAGAUGUAGAAAUACAUCCUUCUUCGGACUCCUGUACAGGUGCUGCAUGGCUGUCGUCAGCUCGUGUCGUGAAAUGUUAGGUUAAGUCCUGCAACGAGCGCAACCCCUGUCUUUAGUUGCCAUCAGGUUAUGCUGGGGACUCUAGAGAGACUGCCGGUGAUAAACCGGAGGAAGGUGGGGACGACGUCAAGUCAUCAUGGCCCUUACGCCCAGGGCUACACACGUGCUACAAUGGUCGGUACAAUGGGCUGCGAAACAGUGAUGUGGAGCGAAUCCCAAAAAGCCGGCCUCAGUUCGGAUCGUAGUCUGCAACUCGACUACGUGAAGU